GAUCAUGGCUCAGAGUGAACGCUGGCGGCAGGCCUAAUACAUGCAAGUCGAACGGCAGCACAGCAGAGCUUGCUCUGUGGGUGGCGAGUGGCGGACGGGUGAGGAAUACAUGGGAAUCUGCCCAGUCGUGGGGGAUAACGUAGGGAAACUUACGCUAAUACCGCAUGCGCCCUUCGGGGGAAAGCCGGGGACCUUCGGGCCUGGCGCGAUUGGAUGAGCCCAUGUCGGAUUAGCUAGUUGGCGGGGUAAUGGCCCACCAAGGCGACGAUCCGUAGCUGGUCUGAGAGGAUGAUCAGCCACACUGGAACUGAGACACGGUCCAGACUCCUACGGGAUGCAGCAGUAGGGAAUAUUGGACAAUGGGCGCAAGCCUGAUCCAGCCAUGCCGCGUGAGUGAAGAAGGCCCUCGGGUUGUAAAGCUCUUUUGUCCGGAAAGAAAAGCGCCGGGUUAAUACCCUGGUGUCCUGACGGUACCGGAAGAAUAAGCACCGGCUAACUUCGUG
RNAcentral lists this ribosomal RNA (503 nucleotides) under uncultured bacterium. Its description in RNAcentral is "bacterial SSU rRNA". It matches the Rfam family "Bacterial small subunit ribosomal RNA", at positions 15 to 507 of the family's 1533-position model. The record is from RNAcentral.